Molecule: ribosomal RNA, 358 nt
Filed under: Hydropsyche cf. grahami A015
Lineage: Eukaryota; Metazoa; Arthropoda; Insecta; Trichoptera; Hydropsychidae
Description: eukaryotic LSU rRNA
Rfam family: Eukaryotic large subunit ribosomal RNA
Source: RNAcentral
GAACACGGACCCARGRAGUCUAGCAUGCGCGCGAGUCAUUGGGAACUGAUAAACCCAGAGGCGCAAUGAAAGUGAACAGCGUCAUUUCGGUGGCCGUAGGGAAGAUGGCGGCCGGCGAGCCCGUCCGCCCGCAUUCCCGAGGCGUUUCGAGAAAUGCCUCCGUUGCGAUUAUCGAGACGCACUGAGAGCGCGCACGCUGGGACCCGAAAGAUGGUGAACUAUGCCUGGUCAGGUCGAAGUCAGGGGAAACCCUGAUGGAGGACCGUAGCGAUUCUGACGUGCAAAUCGAUCGUCUGAACUGGGUAUAGGGGCGAAAGACUAAUCGAACUAUCUAAUAGCUGGUUCCAUCCGAAGUUUC